This 1461-nucleotide ribosomal RNA is filed under the name uncultured organism. RNAcentral's name for it is "SSU rRNA". It matches the Rfam family "Bacterial small subunit ribosomal RNA". The record is from RNAcentral.
GGCGUGCCUAAUACAUGCAAGUAGAACGCUGAAGAGAGGAGCUUGCUCUUCUUGGAUGAGUUGCGAACGGGUGAGUAACGCGUAGGUAACCUGCCUUGUAGCGGGGGAUAACUAUUGGAAACGAUAGCUAAUACCGCAUAACAAUGGAUGACCCAUGUCAUUUAUUUGAAAGGGGCAAAUGCUCCACUACAAGAUGGACCUGCGUUGUAUUAGCUAGUAGGUGAGGUAACGGCUCACCUAGGCGACGAUACAUAGCCGACCUGAGAGGGUGAUCGGCCACACUGGGACUGAGACACGGCCCAGACUCCUACGGGAGGCAGCAGUAGGGAAUCUUCGGCAAUGGGGGCAACCCUGACCGAGCAACGCCGCGUGAGUGAAGAAGGUUUUCGGAUCGUAAAGCUCUGUUGUAAGUCAAGAACGAGUGUGAGAGUGGAAAGUUCACACUGUGACGGUAGCUUACCAGAAAGGGACGGCUAACUACGUGCCAGCAGCCGCGGUAAUACGUAGGUCCCGAGCGUUGUCCGGAUUUAUUGGGCGUAAAGCGAGCGCAGGCGGUUUGAUAAGUCUGAAGUUAAAGGCUGUGGCUCAACCAUAGUUCGCUUUGGAAACUGUCAAACUUGAGUGCAGAAGGGGAGAGUGGAAUUCCAUGUGUAGCGGUGAAAUGCGUAGAUAUAUGGAGGAACACCGGUGGCGAAAGCGGCUCUCUGGUCUGUAACUGACGCUGAGGCUCGAAAGCGUGGGGAGCGAACAGGAUUAGAUACCCUGGUAGUCCACGCCGUAAACGAUGAGUGCUAGGUGUUGGAUCCUUUCCGGGAUUCAGUGCCGCAGCUAACGCAUUAAGCACUCCGCCUGGGGAGUACGACCGCAAGGUUGAAACUCAAAGGAAUUGACGGGGGCCCGCACAAGCGGUGGAGCAUGUGGUUUAAUUCGAAGCAACGCGAAGAACCUUACCAGGUCUUGACAUCCCGAUGCUAUUUCUAGAGAUAGAAAGUUACUUCGGUACAUCGGUGACAGGUGGUGCAUGGUUGUCGUCAGCUCGUGUCGUGAGAUGUUGGGUUAAGUCCCGCAACGAGCGCAACCCCUAUUGUUAGUUGCCAUCAUUCAGUUGGGCACUCUAGCGAGACUGCCGGUAAUAAACCGGAGGAAGGUGGGGAUGACGUCAAAUCAUCAUGCCCCUUAUGACCUGGGCUACACACGUGCUACAAUGGUUGGUACAACGAGUUGCGAGUCGGUGACGGCAAGCUAAUCUCUUAAAGCCAAUCUCAGUUCGGAUUGUAGGCUGCAACUCGCCUACAUGAAGUCGGAAUCGCUAGUAAUCGCGGAUCAGCACGCCGCGGUGAAUACGUUCCCGGGCCUUGUACACACCGCCCGUCACACCACGAGAGUUUGUAACACCCGAAGUCGGUGAGGUAACCUUUUGGAGCCAGCCGCCUAAGGUGGGAUAGAUGAUUGGGGUGAAGA